This 500-nucleotide ribosomal RNA is filed under the name uncultured Glomeromycotina. RNAcentral's name for it is "partial small subunit ribosomal RNA". It matches the Rfam family "Eukaryotic small subunit ribosomal RNA", at positions 591 to 1092 of the family's 1831-position model. The record is from RNAcentral. Lineage: Eukaryota; Fungi; Glomeromycota.
CCAAUAGCGUAUAUUAAAGUUGUUGCAGUUAAAAAGCUCGUAGUUGAAUUUCGGGAUCGACGGGUCGGUCGCGCCUCUGGUGUGUACUGGCCCUGUCGGUUUCUCCCUUCUGACGAACCACGAUGUCAUUAAUUUGGUGUCGUGGGAAAUCAGGACUGUUACUUUGAAAAAAUUAGAGUGUUUAAAGCAGGCAUUCGCUUGAAUACAUUAGCAUGGAAUAAUGAAAUAGGACGUUUGAUCUUAUUUUGUUGGUUUCUAAGAUCGACGUAAUGAUUAAUAGGGAUAGUUGGGGGCAUUAGUAUUCAAUUGUCAGAGGUGAAAUUCUUGGAUUUAUUGAAGACUAACUACUGCGAAAGCAUUUGCCAAGGAUGUUUUCAUUAAUCAAGAACGAAAGUUAGGGGAUCGAAGACGAUCAGAUACCGUCGUAGUCUUAACCAUAAACUAUGCCGACUAGGGAUCGGAUGAUGUUAACUUUUUAAUGACUCAUUCGGCGCCUUACG